This 253-nucleotide ribosomal RNA is filed under the name uncultured bacterium. Its description in RNAcentral is "partial 16S ribosomal RNA". It matches the Rfam family "Bacterial small subunit ribosomal RNA", at positions 524 to 776 of the family's 1533-position model. The record is from RNAcentral.
UACGUAGGGGGCAAGCGUUGUCCGGAAUCAUUGGGCGUAAAGAGCGCGUAGGCGGUCCGGUAAGUCAGCUGUGAAAGUCAGGGGCUCAACCCUUGAAAGCCGGUUGAUACUGUCGGGCUAGAGUCCGGAAGAGGCGAGUGGAAUUCCCGGUGUAGCGGUGAAAUGCGCAGAUAUCGGGAGGAACACCAAUGGCGAAGGCAGCUCGCUGGGACGGUACUGACGCUGAGGCGCGAAAGCGUGGGGAGCGAACGGG